CAUCGCAGCCGAUGAUCAUGGAUCUGAAUGGGUUCCUUUAGCUGCGCACGUACUCGACCUCCACAGAUAUCGACACGAGGACUCAUUUUGACCAGAGAUAGGUGUCUUUAGCAGAGUGCUAGCUCCCUUACAGAAGACUUCUCUUUGAUGGCUAAGAUUGUUCUCUCACUAUCUCACAGACUCUCUUGAGAACUAGGGAGAACGGGAGGAGGAAGAAAGAGGGCUAGCUUUUUUUUAUUUUUCUCUUUUUCUUAUUUUUCUUUUCCUUCUUGCUUAAGGCAUCCAAGUAUUGGACCUUUUUUAUAAGAGGGGCUAAGGAUUAGGGUUUGGAGUAGGGGGCGCCACCAAAAGUUUCCAUAAAAUACUUAAUUGGUUUCCUUCUUAUCUCCUUAUCUAGAUUUGAAUUAAAUUCAAAACAAGAAGGAGAUAAGGAUCAUGACUUAUCAAGAAACACCCUGCCUUAUCCUUUUGAUUUGAAUCAUAUUCAUAUUAGGAAAGGAUAAGGAUCAUGACUCAUCAUGAAACCACCUGCCUUAUUCUUUUGAUUUGAAUUAUAUUCAUAUUAGAAAAGGAUAAGGAUCAUGACACAUCAUGAAACCACCUGCCUUAUCCUUUUGAUUUGAAUCAUAUUCAUAUUAGAAAAGGAUAAGGAUCAUGACUCAAACCAAAUCAUUGAGGAGUCCUAGGGUUUUGGGAUUCUAGGUUUUCUAUUUUGUAUCAAACCAAAUCUUAUCUGGUUGGACCCGAGGGGAGAAAGGAAUCUAACCAAAUUAGAAACCCAAUCUCCUCAAUUAAAUUCUAAUCUAAUUAAGAAUUAAUUGAACUCAAGUCUUAAUCAUCAAGAAUUAAUCUUCCUCAUAAUUAGGCUUGAUCUAAUCAAAUUUAAUCCAAUUCAAACUGAAUCCAAUUCAAUUAGACC
RNAcentral lists this long non-coding RNA (919 nucleotides) under Elaeis guineensis (African oil palm). Its description in RNAcentral is "long non-coding RNA (EGUI_LNC049485)". The record is from RNAcentral. Lineage: Eukaryota; Viridiplantae; Streptophyta; Magnoliopsida; Arecales; Arecaceae.